This 402-nucleotide ribosomal RNA is filed under the name bacterium. RNAcentral describes it as "partial 16S ribosomal RNA". It matches the Rfam family "Bacterial small subunit ribosomal RNA", at positions 355 to 776 of the family's 1533-position model. The record is from RNAcentral.
UGGGGAAUUUUGCACAAUGGGGGAAACCCUGAUGCAGCGACGCCGCGUGAUUUAGAAGGCCUUCGGGUUGUAAAAAUCUUUUCUAUGGGAAGAAAAUGACAGUACCAUAGGAAUAAGGACCGGCUAAUUACGUGCCAGCAGCCGCGGUAAUACGUAAGGUCCGAGCGUUGUCCGGAAUCAUUGGGCGUAAAGGGUACGUAGGCGGGUAAGCAAGUUAGAAGUGAAAUCCUAUAGCUCAACUAUAGUAAGCUUUUAAAACUGCUCAUCUUGAAGUAUUGAAGGGAAAGUGGAAUUCCUAGUGUAGCGGUGAAAUGCGCAGAUAUUAGGAGGAAUACCGGUGGCGAAGGCGACUUUCUGGCCAUAACCUGACGCUGAGGUACGAAAGCGUGGGUAGCAAACAGG